This 270-nucleotide ribosomal RNA is filed under the name uncultured bacterium. RNAcentral's name for it is "partial 16S ribosomal RNA". It matches the Rfam family "Bacterial small subunit ribosomal RNA", at positions 84 to 354 of the family's 1533-position model. The record is from RNAcentral.
UUGCUAUCUUAGUGGCGGACGGGUGAGUAACGCGUGGGUAACCUGCCUUGCACUGGGGGAUAACACUUAGAAAUAGGUGCUAAUACCGCAUAACAGGAGAAGACGCAUGUCUUUUCCUUAAAAACUCCGGUGGUGUAAGAUGGACCCGCGUCUGAUUAGCUUGUUGGCGGGGUAACGGCCCACCAAGGCGACGAUCAGUAGCCGGCCUGAGAGGGUGAACCGGCCACAUUGGGACUGAGACACGGCCCAAACUCCUACGGAAGGCAGCAG